GUGUACAGUUGCCUCAGUUACUUGGGAAAUCAAAGAUCUCAUCCGCCAAGGCCAGGAAUCUGAACCUGCUCCUGACUCCAUCCCUCACAAGAAGGUCUAUGUCCCUACGUCUGUCCGAGCCCGCCUAAUUCAUUGGAUCCACUCUGUUAAAUUCUCAGCAACAUUGCUUUUGUCAACCGAGGUUCUGGUGGCCCUCGGUACACAAAGAUGUUAAAGAAUACAUCCUCUCCUGUCCUGUCUGUGCAAGAAAUAAAUCUUAUCAAUCUCCAUCUGGUCUCCUGCAACCCCUUUCCAUCCUUAAGCGGCUUUGGUCACAUAUCUCCAUCAACUUUAUCUCCGGACUCCCCAUAUCAAAAGGUAUGACCACCAUCUUAACCAUUGUUGACCUUUUCUCUAAAUCAUGCCAUCUCCUUCCACUCAGAAAACUUCCCACAGCUUUCCAGAUUGCUUUACUCCUUGUCAAACAUGUUUUCCAACUACAUGUCAUCCUUCAAGAGAUCCCCUCCAACCGUGGUCCACAAUUCACAUCCCAGAUUUGAUGAUGAUGAUGA
Molecule: long non-coding RNA, 551 nt
Organism: Poecilia latipinna (sailfin molly)
Lineage: Eukaryota; Metazoa; Chordata; Actinopteri; Cyprinodontiformes; Poeciliidae
Exons: 3
Source: RefSeq, a predicted model, not a curated record